RNAcentral lists this ribosomal RNA (468 nucleotides) under uncultured bacterium. RNAcentral's name for it is "bacterial SSU rRNA". It matches the Rfam family "Bacterial small subunit ribosomal RNA", at positions 335 to 795 of the family's 1533-position model. The record is from RNAcentral.
ACUCCUACGGGAGGCAGCAGUGGGGAAUUUUGGACAAUGGGGGCAACCCUGAUCCAGCCAUGCCGCGUGAGUGAAGAAGGCCUUCGGGUUGUAAAGCUCUUUCGGCCGGGAAGAAAUCGUGUUCUCUAACAUAGGACAUGGAUGACGGUACCGGACUAAGAAGCACCGGCUAACUACGUGCCAGCAGCCGCGGUAAUACGUAGGGUGCGAGCGUUAAUCGGAAUUACUGGGCGUAAAGCGUGCGCAUGCGGUUUUGUAAGACAGAUGUGAAAUCCCCGGGCUUAACCUGGGAACUGCGUUUGUGACUGCAAGGCUAGAGUACGGCAGAGGGGGGUGGAAUUCCUGGUGUAGCAGUGAAAUGCGUAGAUAUCAGGAGGAACACCGAUGGCGAAGGCAGCCCCCUGGGCCUGUACUGACGCUCAUGCACGAAAGCGUGGGGAGCAAACAGGAUUAGAUACCCUGGUAGUC